Long non-coding RNA from Cyprinus carpio (common carp), 189 nucleotides. RefSeq lists it as uncharacterized. The record is from RefSeq and is a predicted model, not a curated record. Lineage: Eukaryota; Metazoa; Chordata; Actinopteri; Cypriniformes; Cyprinidae. The transcript is spliced from 2 exons.
CGAGGAACACGCGGGUGAAUACUGUCUCUGCAGGAGGGUGAUGUGGUGAAGAUCUACAGCAAAACUGGAGCCAAUGGCUGGUGGAGGGGUGAAGUCAAUGGACGAGUGGGCUGGUUCCCCUCCACAUACGUAGAAGAAGGCGAGGAGUGAACGGCUCAGCGAUCAUGCACAAGAGAAAGGAAAAAGAGG